UGGGGAAUAUUGGGCAAUGGACGCAAGUCUGACCCAGCAACGCCGCGUGAAGGAAGAAGGCUUUCGGGUUGUAAACUUCUUUUAAGGGGGAAGAGCAGAAGACGGUACCCCUUGAAUAAGCCACGGCUAACUACGUGCCAGCAGCCGCGGUAAUACGUAGGUGGCAAGCGUUGUCCGGAUUUACUGGGUGUAAAGGGCGUGCAGCCGGAGAGGCAAGUCAGAUGUGAAAUCCGCGGGCUCAACCCGCGAACUGCAUUUGAAACUGCUUCCCUUGAGUAUCGGAGAGGUAAUCGGAAUUCCUAG
RNAcentral lists this ribosomal RNA (303 nucleotides) under uncultured bacterium. RNAcentral's name for it is "bacterial SSU rRNA". It matches the Rfam family "Bacterial small subunit ribosomal RNA", at positions 355 to 673 of the family's 1533-position model. The record is from RNAcentral.